GGAUUGCUUUCUACUAUAUGAGUUACAAGCUAGGAGUAAUUAAGGAGGUCGAUUCGGAUUGCAUCUCUUGUUGCUUUAUGUGGUCUGCGACAUGAGCAAUUACUCCUACUCCAGCAUUGUGAAAAAACUCAUUCUUCACAUGGAUAUUGUUAUGCGCAAAAAAGGGCCAGAAUGCUGAGUGAAAGCUGACAUCAAUUUUUUUCCACCCCAACUGUUGCAAGCCACGUAUCAUUUCCUCUUCCAUGCUUUCAUGAUAUUCCAAUGUCCUCUGUGUGUUUGGUGCAUUUUGGGCUGCCUCCUUUGCUUUGGCUGCCUCUAAGGGAUAAUGAGGUCCUUCGCAUGAAGCUGGAGGACAAUACUCCACAUCUACUACAUGUUUGUAGCCAUCCAAAGAUCGCCAAGGAGGCUUGACAAGUUCUGUCACCCUUCUUAUAGAUGAUGUACGCCAGCCGACCAUAUGAUCAUAAGAGACAUUAGCAUAAAGAACACGCCAUUUGAAAGAACCAAGCGCUGAUAUAAAUUUUCCAUCAUCACAGUCUGAUGCCAUCCUUAGCAAAAGAGGUGGUUUCGUAGGUUUGCCAUCUGUAAGGAAGAGCUGACUACCAGUUUGACCAACAAAUAUAGGAGCUAUAGGUGCUGCAAGUUUCUCCAAGAUAGGCAACCCAAAGAGAAAAGGUAGCUGAUUUUUCCCUCUCACACCAAGAUGUGGUGUUGCCAACGUGAUAAAAUUGACUGGCUCCAGGCCAGCAAUCAAUCCUACAUUUGAGGAGCAUACUGGUUUGAGGUUUGCACUAGUUGAAGUGACUGCAUCAUUGUACUGCUCAUUACAGUUGUCUGAUGAAUAAAGUACACCAAGUGCAUAUCUUGCAAUCAAUCCACCAAGAGAAUGAGCUAAAAAGGAUAUCUUCUUCAGGCUUUCUUUCUUCUUUACAACCAGCCUGACUUCAUCUGCUAGUCGUUUUCCAGCUCCAUCAAUCCCAGUGAAGGUUUUAGUGAACGUAUUACAUGAACUUGCAUAUAUUAAAAAGUUUCUUCCCAACCGCCUUCUCAACUCUGCUUGUACAUAUGUCCAGUCACUUGGG
RNAcentral lists this unclassified non-coding RNA (1082 nucleotides) under Hevea brasiliensis (rubber tree). Lineage: Eukaryota; Viridiplantae; Streptophyta; Magnoliopsida; Malpighiales; Euphorbiaceae. The record is from RNAcentral.